CGCGUUCCGACUCCGGUCUGGUGUACGGGUUGCACUCCGUCUCUCUGGCUAUUUUAUGUGUUCCGAUCUGACAGCCCACAUGCCUCUGCUGUACGCCUCGGCCACAGGACACAGAGCACUAAGAAGACAGAGGACCACCAGUUUGGAUAAUAUCUCAAGGCUUAAUAGGGAAGGAAGGUGGCAUUGAAAAAAAAAUAUCCAUAGCAUUACAGCAGCAAUCCUGUGUGGCAUUUUGGCUCACUCAAGAGUGUGGGUAAAUCCUGAUCAUUGGCGCCAAAAAUAAAGCUCAUGAACCUGAAAUUACCAUGAAGUUCUGAUUUUAGGAAGUCCUACUAUGAAAUAGUGAGAUAUUUCUUCAACAAAAUGCCUUGUGAUUCACUGACUGGGAUAAAGGUGCAUUUCUAAAAUACAACUAUGUUCAAUUUCUUCAUUAAAUGAUUUAAGAAUAAAACUCUUCAACCGUUUUCCAGAGGAUAAGCUCUAGUCCAUUGGGAAGAGGUGAAAAAGGCAUGUUAGAAACUGAAAGGUAAGCUAGCAGGAAAGAGGUGAAGAUAAUACGAGGACCCACUCUGUGCCUGCCAUGGGAUUAUUUAUGAAAGCCAUCUGGAAGACAGGGAGGGCAGUGGGUGAGAGAUUUGUUCCAGAGAUUCACGGUCUGGUGAGACAAGUUUGAGACCUCGUAUUUUCAGCUCAUCCUUGAAAACCUUGCUUGGAUUUGACUGACCUUGAUGGCUCCCUGGAAUCUCACCUACAUUUUAUGGAAAAUUCAACUCUCCAGAGAGAAGAGCUUUCAGAGUGCUACGGGACUUGCAACUAUGACUUUCAACUUUCACUUUUGAAUGAGGCUCCAAGUGUCUCAAUGGUGGCACUAUUUCCAGAUUUGGGGGGUCUCGGAUAUGUUAUGUCUGAUUCAAAGACAACCAAAAAGAAGGAAAUAAUGAUUUCACCAAGAAAGGACACAUACCAAGGCAGGAAUAGAGCCCUGCAAAGCUAAUCUGCUCAACCUUCACCUACUGGGUUCAAUGAAUAUGAAAAGCUGCCUUCCUGAAACUUUUCCUUCAAAGAGGGAAUGAUCUCUUGGAAUUCAAGCUUCUACAAGGUGGCUACCUGGUGUUUUCCACUUUUGCCUUCUCCUAAAAAGCAUCAAUCAAGCCUUGCCCUUUCAACCCACUGAACACAUAAACAUGCUUUCUCCUUAACUGAACUUAUGGCCACGAUGAACUUGAACUCUGAGAUGCACAAGAGGAGAGUUUGUUUUAACAGCUGCUUUUACAAUGAAGCCCUGGAGUUACUACUCUCAAGACCCCUGGUUCUGAUAGGCCGUCUUUUCACUGUCCUCUGCAUUUUCAAAUGCCCAGCUGUCAGGGAACACCCACUGAAGUUUUCCAAAACAAAAGCAUGAAACACAAGAAAGACAAGAGAAUGCUAAUCACUGGAUACAUGGGUGUCUUAUGGGGGGACCCCUUACAUGUGGAAUAGGGUUUUUCUCCCCAAUUUAUUUUUAUAAAUUUAUUGAUUUCUUUGCUAGUUUAUUAUUAAUUGUUAGAGAUGUCCUGUUGCCUGAGAUUGCCCUGUCCAAUAUGGUAGCCACCAGCAACAGGUAGCUAUUUAGAGCAAUUAAAAUUACAUUAAAAAUACAGUUUCCUUGUCACUUAACCAUGUUUCAAGUGCUCAGUAUUUAACCACAUGUGGCUAGUGGCUUCCAUAAAGGAAGGCAAAAAUAGAGAACAUUUACAUCGUGGCAGAAAGCUACUAGAUUCUUUUGGCCAAGGCAUAAGUCUUUCUCAUAGGAGAAAGGGGAUGCAGAUCUUGCUAAGAGUGAUGGAUUUCUGGGUUCAGCCUACAUGAGUCAUCUUCCAUACCACUCCUGGACAUGCUUUCCUUGGCUGCCAAUUUUCUGUUUUAUACAUUUCAGCAAAGAGAGGUUAUGAUCAUUAAAAACAUUCAUGACAAUAAUCCCACUUUAGAGAAAACAACAGCAACAAGCAAAGAAGAUGGUGUGGAGAUCCACACAUUCUACAUCUUUUAAUUGGUACCCAUUAAAUAACAAAGAGAAAAAGUACCCUCAGACCACAACUCUCCACCUUGUGUGGAGGCCAAGAACCCAGUAGGGAGAAGGCUGAAGGUUAGGUUCUCCACUCAUCCUGGCUCUUAGACCACUGAACUCACAUUUGGGUUCUAAUGGAAUGGUGAUUGGAAGCAUAUUCUCUGACAGGAGGUUUUUAAAAGUUCCAUGCCAUCAGCCAGGCAGCGUCUGUCACUUAAAAUGACUGGCCAGUUGCACAUUUAAAAGCAAAGAUAAAAUUGCUAAUUUAUACUUACUGAAUAAAUGUUAUCAGUAUCCAGGAAGGUACCUACCCUAAUAACAAGUUGUAGUUUUAUUUCUAUGGUGGUGGUGAAGCUGCCAGGAAAAUCAAAGUAUCAGUUCUUUAAUUACAUGUGUUUAGUAUUCAUUUAAUACUAAAAUUUCUCUUGCUCCCUUAGAACGAAGAGCUCUAACUUGUUCACUGCUGUAUCCUUAGCACCUAGAACAGUCCCUGGCCUACAGUAGGCACUUAGAAAGUAUUUGUUGAAAGUUGAAUGACUGUUUUAUUUUAUUUUUUUAAAGAAACGACUCAGAGUUUUUUUAAUCCUCCCCCAACCCCCAACCCCUGGUAUUAAAAUAAAUCUUCUUCAACUGCUAUCACUAAUCGCCAGGAUUCCCUCCUAGCCAAUUAUGCUUGGACUCAACCUCUACCUCCCACUCCACAUUCCAAAGUUUCUAUUUCUUUCCAUUCCAGAAGGGCAACUCCACAACAGGAGUGAGGGAGAGGACCUGGACUCCUCCUCAGAGUCCAAUAACCCUCCUAACCCUGCUCCCCCCACCCAUGGACUUUUUAGAUCCAUGAAAAUAGAAUCUGUCAAGCUACCACGAAAUAGCAUCAGAGGGCAGGAUCAGCCUUUCAUAGGCAUAUAAUCUCUGUAAAUACUGAAAAAAGAUUAUUAAAAGCCUAAGUUUUGUCUCCAGUGAAAUAGAUGCAGGCAAGUAUUUUGAUUGUUCUGAACACAUUAGAGAUGAGUGCUACACAGAACUAAGGUAAACUUUGUAAAUUCAUAUGUCAUAACACUUUGUUCCACAAAAAACUAUCUUAUUUUUUAUACUCCAUACUGAUACAGCCAAAUAAUGUGGCUCUUGUUUUUAAAGAUGCUAGCAAUAUGUUUAAACAUGUCUUCACGGUAGUAAAAAUAUCAUAUUUUAUAAAAAAUACACAUGCAUUUAAUGUGAUAUUCCUUAUAGUCAAAAUCUUGAUGUCAUCCUCCUAAUCUGGCUAAAAAUGCAUCCGUAAAAUCAAAGAAAGGAAUAUUUUGCCAUUCCCUAAACAACAGUUGUUUGAAGCUUUUGUAAUUGCUGGUUAUGGGAAUUUACCAAUAACAGGAAUGAAUUUGGAUUUUCUUUUGCCGGAAUCAAAUGGACAAUGUCACAAUUAGUUAAAUAAUGUUGAGGCUAAAUGAAGUUUGAGUUUUAGGCACAUCUUUUAUAGAAUAUAAACAGGAGCCUAAAAGUUCAUUCUGAACACAGGUUGUUUCUUUCUGCCAAAACAAGAUUAAUAGUCAGUACCCCACCAAGGAGAUCCUAUCACUGAAGUAGAUUAUCUGCUAGUCAAAUGGGUUCCUAACAGCACCUCCCUCAUAGAUUAAAACCAGGUUAAUGUGAUGUGUAUUUGCUUACUUUAGCUUGUUACACAGUAAACACACAGCAAACGCUAGCUAUUGUUAUCUUCGUUUCCUUUGGAGAAGUUUUCUUAUUUCUCACCUUAUUAAAAAUAAAGUCUGACUCAUAUAGGGACCCUCCUUACCUUGGUCCUUUCACCCAUGAAUACCAUAAUAACCUAUACUGCAAAAAGGAGGCUCAGGAGGAGGAUGAGGUAUCAAUAGGCCUCUGGGUCAUUUCUAUGAUUUAGAUUUUUUUGAAAACGGUAGGCUCUCUUGAAACUUCCAAGGUAGUUGCUGUAGUAUUUUAUUUUCCUUUAAUAAGAAAUGCUUUCUGAAAUGUAUUGCAGUGAACAAAUAACAAAAUUGACAAAUGCCGUAAGCCUUUUAUAGUUAUCUGAACACACAGAAUAAAGUGUAAUCAAAUUUAUGCACAUUAGGUUUGCUUUUUCCUGUACCUAGCUGUCUCUUAUGUGUUCAGAACCAUUUCUUCCAAUCACCUUUUUUUGUCUUCUGGCUAUAUUUUAUCAUUAUCUACAAAUUUAAUAAAUGGAGCAUGCA
This is a long non-coding RNA of Rhinopithecus roxellana (golden snub-nosed monkey), 4251 nucleotides long. RefSeq lists it as uncharacterized. NCBI's taxonomy places the organism in Eukaryota, Metazoa, Chordata, Mammalia, Primates, Cercopithecidae. The record is from RefSeq and is a predicted model, not a curated record. The transcript is spliced from 6 exons.